GUAAUUGCUCUAAAGGAACACGUGACUUAUUUUGACCAAUUACAUUUGAUAAUUGGCACUAAAUUUGCCGAUCCUUCACGCGCCAUGUUUAAAUGGAUUUUUUCCUAAUACCACAGAAUAUGUAUCUAUUCUGUGCUAAUACAGUCUUUAUCGUAUUGAAAAAUCUUUCGCGUACUGAGCAAACUUGUUGUCGACAAGCCAAGCAGAGAGUCUCACGGCUUGCUUUCUUUGGUACAAGGUGUUUUUGGUGGUGUUAGUCGUAUAUCGAGUCGCAAGAAAGAAUCGUUUUGAAGAACUGUUUGGAAUCACCUGUGUACGAUACAUACAUAAUAAAGCAUGUUACAUCUAAACAGCCCGACUAAAAGGUGAACAGGAAACAACGACAGCAAGUGCAAUGGCAGAACAACGAUGAAAUUGAAUUUAACAAAGUGAGCAUUUGUCGAGAAGAAUUUGGGUAUAUAAACCGAUCAACUGCUAGAACUUUGGAUAAAAGUCAACGUUGAUGUUGGGAAAGAAUUUGCUGUUGACUGAACGAUAUUCUCAGCGUGGAUUGCACGCAAAUUAUUAACUGUCAAAGCGGAAUUAUUACGAAUUAAAUUACUACGAGUGAACUACGACAAGUGCCAUUGGGUUGAUAAAGCUAAUAUCGACAGCAGCCGCUAAAAGAAAUCUGUAUGGCUUAGCCGUAAGAAAACAUGCUGCUUUUGAAACACUUGUCUCUUUGAUUUUCUAAAGAAGACAUAAGUAACUAUAGAUGUUUUACUAAUGUAUUAUUAAACUAACAUUAAUAUAAAUGUAUAUAUUUGUGUAACUCUUUCACACUAUAUAUGUACACUCCUUCUUCGUGUAAUUUUUACGAAUGUGAUUUUUGGUUUGUUGCUUUAUCUUUAGCUGGAAGUGUUCUGCUAUAAUUUUGAUUCGAGUCCUUCAAUGGUCUAUUUUUUUUGCAUUAAAUCCUUCAAGGUAGGAAUGGCACUUUAAAAUGACCAGGUGUCUUCAACGAACUCUCUGGUCUAGUGGAUAGACACAACCUUUCGAGGUUGAGAGUGGAGGUUCGAGCCCUGUCUGGAAAAAGAUGUAACUAUGCUAAGGAUGAAUAAGAAAUAGGAAAAUAAGGAAAUAGUGCUGGUUAAUAGAACAAAAAUGGGAUUUCUAUUACUAAACUUUUCGAGAAUGGAAUGCGACACUUAGUAUAAAUUCA
Long non-coding RNA from Xenia sp. Carnegie-2017, 1201 nucleotides. RefSeq lists it as uncharacterized. NCBI's taxonomy places the organism in Eukaryota, Metazoa, Cnidaria, Anthozoa, Malacalcyonacea, Xeniidae. The transcript is spliced from 3 exons. The record is from RefSeq and is a predicted model, not a curated record.